GAUUGAACGCUGGCGGCAGGCCUAACACAUGCAAGUCGAACGGUAACAGGAAGCAGCUUGCUGCUUUGCUGACGAGUGGCGGACGGGUGAGUAAUGUCUGGGAAACUGCCUGAUGGAGGGGGAUAACUACUGGAAACGGUGGCUAAUACCGCAUAACGUCGCAAGACCAAAGAGGGGGACCUUCGGGCCUCUUGCCAUCAGAUGUGCCCAGAUGGGAUUAGCUUGUUGGUGAGGUAACGGCUCACCAAGGCGACGAUCCCUAGCUGGUCUGAGAGGAUGACCAGCCACACUGGAACUGAGACACGGUCCAGACUCCUACGGGAGGCAGCAGUGGGGAAUAUUGCACAAUGGGCGCAAGCCUGAUGCAGCCAUGCCGCGUGUAUGAAGAAGGCCUUCGGGUUGUAAAGUACUUUCAGCGGGGAGGAAGGUGUUGUGGUUAAUAACCGCAGCAAUUGACGUUACCCGCAGAAGAAGCACCGGCU
This 482-nucleotide ribosomal RNA is filed under the name Salmonella enterica subsp. enterica serovar Javiana. RNAcentral describes it as "bacterial SSU rRNA". It matches the Rfam family "Bacterial small subunit ribosomal RNA", at positions 27 to 498 of the family's 1533-position model. Lineage: Bacteria; Pseudomonadati; Pseudomonadota; Gammaproteobacteria; Enterobacterales; Enterobacteriaceae. The record is from RNAcentral.